This 1376-nucleotide long non-coding RNA is filed under the name Nicotiana tabacum (common tobacco). RNAcentral's name for it is "long non-coding RNA (NTAB_LNC001333)". Lineage: Eukaryota; Viridiplantae; Streptophyta; Magnoliopsida; Solanales; Solanaceae. The record is from RNAcentral.
GCACCUUACCACUAACAGAAUUAUUCCCUCACAACACACAUCUCACUUCACACCUCCCCAUUUUUCCCCUUUAACAACUCAACACUCCCACUUUUCCUCUUUUAACAUCUCACACUCCCACUCUCUCUUAUAUUAAAAUAGUUAGAGACAAUCUUUUAGGAGAUAUGAGAGAGUUGCUUGAACACCCCAAAAAACAGCAAAAAAUAGAGCCGAAAGAAAGCAUCAAACUCCAGCAAAUUCCAGCCGAAAUCACCCCAAAAAAUAGCUCCAAAAGCAGCUGAAAAACAGCCAAAAACCCACCAAAAAUCAGUGCCAAAAACGCUGCCAAAACCACCCAAAAUCCAACUGAAAACCAAUCCGAAAUGGCUUCAUUCUCCACCUAAAAUACAGCCAUAAAAUACCCAUCAAACCACUUUAAAAGUUGUUGAUUUCACCCAAUACAACACGCACAAGGUUCCUAAAAUUGGAGGAGAUCGAGUGAAGGCACCGGCGAGUUUCAGUCGAGGUUCAAGGUUCGCUGGGGAUUUUUUCUUGCUAUUUUCAUUCCUCCGUACCGAAAGAGGUUAGAUUCUUCAAUAUAAAAUGGCCAAUUCUUUUCUUCAAAGGCGUAACUUCAUAUUUGUUUAUUUAUCAAACAGUUAUUUCUUUUUAUCAACUUUGUUGGUGCACUAUUGCUUUAUUUACCAUGAGUGUUUGCUUUAGAAUUAUUUUUAUUACUAGCAUGUUUAUUUAAACAAGUGAACUUAAUAUAGAGUGAAUUCCAAAUACAGAGCAUGAUAAUUAUAUUGUUGAACAUAAGGCUCAGAUUCGUGUUUUCCUUUCUAUUUUUUUCUAGUGUUGAUUUUAAUUAUUAUUAAUUGUAUUUUCAUGAAAGUUGAGAACAAGAAGCACUAAAAAAAAUAGUAGUUACGCUGGUAUUGAGCCAUGUGAUCUUGUUAUUCAUUAAAUGAUAAUUGGGUCAUUAGUUGAUAAUGUGGGCCGUUGUAUAUUUAUUAGUAGUAAUUAAAAGAGUUUUGACUCAGAGGUUUCUGUUUGGUCAAGUUCAGUGAUUGAGAAGUUGGCUUGAGAAUAUUUUUGGAAUUUUUACCUCCUAUAGCAAAGGUUGAUAUCUUAUUUAUUUUAAAUAAACACCCUUUUAAAAAAUUAUAUUCCAUAGCUACCUUUUAAAUUUUAUAGCCAAAUAUCUAUUUAUGGUCACCUCCUACCCUUAAGCCAUAAAAUACGCUUUGUAUUAUUUUUCUCUCUCAUUCUUUCAGAUUUGUCUCCACCCUCUCUCUCUCUCAAAGCCAUAAAACUCAUGGAUUCUCUCUCAUCAGUUUAUCCGUCGAUCCUUCUUCCUCCUGGAAAGCAUCUCCGCCACCACCAUCAUCAGCANN